This 585-nucleotide ribosomal RNA is filed under the name uncultured archaeon. Its description in RNAcentral is "bacterial SSU rRNA". It matches the Rfam family "Archaeal small subunit ribosomal RNA", at positions 1 to 566 of the family's 1478-position model. The record is from RNAcentral.
UUCCGGUUGAUCCUGCCGGACCCCACUGCUAUCGGGAUAGGACUAAGACAUGCUAGUCGAGUGACUCAGGCAAAACGAGUCACGGCACACAGCUCAGUAACACGUGGCUAAUCUGCCCUCAGGACGAGAACAACCCCGGGAAACUGGGGCUAACUCUUGAUAGGUGAAGAACUCUGGAAUGAGUCUUUGCCUAAAUAGAUUCACGUUAUCCUCGUGAAUUUGCCUAAGGAUGAGGCCGCGACCGAUCAGGUUGUUGGCGAGGUAAUGGCUCACCAAGCCUUUUACCGGUGCGGGCCGUGGGAGCGGGAGCCCGGAGAUGGGUACUGAGACAAGGACCCAGGCCCUACGGGGCGCAGCAGUCGCGAAACCUUUGCAAUACACGAAAGUGUGACAGGGCUAUCCCGAGUGCCAUCCGCUGAGGAAGGCUUUUACCCAGUCUAGAACGCUGGGGGAAUAAGGAGAGGGCAAGUCUGGUGUCAGCCGCCGCGGUAAUACCAGCUCUCCGAGUGGUGUGGAUGUUUAUUGGGCCUAAAGCAUCCGUAGCUGGCUAGGUAAGUCCCUUGUUAAAUCCACCGAAUUAAUCGU